GAACGCUGGCGGCGUGCUUAACACAUGCAAGUCGAGCGGAAAGGCCCUUCGGGGUACUCGAGCGGCGAACGGGUGAGUAACACGUGAGCAACCUGCCCUAGGCUUUGGGAUGCCCCCGGGAAACCGGGGCUUUUGCCGAAUAGGACCUCUGGCCGCAUGGCCGGGGGUGGAAAGUUUUUCGGCUUGGGAUGGGCUCGCGGCCUAUCAGCUUGUUGGUGGGGUGAUGGCCUACCCAGGCGACGACGGGUAGCCGGCCUGAGAGGGCGUACGGCCACACUGGGACUCAGACACGGCCCAGACUCCUACGGGAGCCAGCAGUGGGGAAUGUUGCACAAUGGGCGGAAGCCUGAUGCCGCGACGCCGCGUGAGGGAUGACGGCCUUCGGGUUGUAAACCUCUUUCAGCAGGGACGAAGCGUAAGUGACGGUACCUGCAGAAGAAGCGCUGGCCAACUACGUGCCAGCAGCCGCGGUAAGACGUAGGGCGCGAGCGUUGUCCGGAUUUAUUGGGCGUAAAGAGCUCGUAGGCGGC
RNAcentral lists this ribosomal RNA (530 nucleotides) under Micromonospora aurantiaca (nom. illeg.). RNAcentral's name for it is "bacterial SSU rRNA". It matches the Rfam family "Bacterial small subunit ribosomal RNA", at positions 31 to 579 of the family's 1533-position model. The record is from RNAcentral. Lineage: Bacteria; Bacillati; Actinomycetota; Actinomycetes; Micromonosporales; Micromonosporaceae.